GACGUAGGGCGCGAGCGUUGUCCGGAUUUAUUGGGCGUAAAGAGCUCGUAGGCGGCUUGUCGCGUCGUCCGUGAAAACCUGCAGCUCAACUGCAGGCUUGCGGUCGAUACGGGCAGGCUAGAGUUCGGUAGGGGAGACUGGAAUUCCUGGUGUAGCGGUGAAAUGCGCAGAUAUCAGGAGGAACACCGGUGGCGAAGGCGGGACUCUGGGCCGAUACUGACGCUGAGGAGCGAAAGCGUGGGGAGCGAACAGG
This 253-nucleotide ribosomal RNA is filed under the name uncultured bacterium. RNAcentral's name for it is "partial 16S ribosomal RNA". It matches the Rfam family "Bacterial small subunit ribosomal RNA", at positions 524 to 776 of the family's 1533-position model. The record is from RNAcentral.